UACGAAGGGGGCUAGCGUUGCUCGGAAUCACUGGGCGUAAAGGGUGCGUAGGCGGGCCUUUAAGUCAGGGGUGAAAUCCUGGAGCUCAACUCCAGAACUGCCUUUGAUACUGAAGAUCUUGAGUUCGGGAGAGGUGAGUGGAACUGCGAGUGUAGAGGUGAAAUUCGUAGAUAUUCGCAAGAACACCAGUGGCGAAGGCGGUUGCCUGGAGCUUUGCUGACGCUGAUGCGCGAAAGCGUGGGGAGCGAUCCGG
RNAcentral lists this ribosomal RNA (253 nucleotides) under uncultured bacterium. RNAcentral's name for it is "partial 16S ribosomal RNA". It matches the Rfam family "Bacterial small subunit ribosomal RNA", at positions 524 to 776 of the family's 1533-position model. The record is from RNAcentral.